GACGAACGCUGGCGGCGUGCCUAAUACAUGCAAGUAGAACGCUGAAGGAGGAGCUUGCUUCUCUGGAUGAGUUGCGAACGGGUGAGUAACGCGUAGGUAACCUGCCUGGUAGCGGGGGAUAACUAUUGGAAACGAUAGCUAAUACCGCAUAAGAGUAGAUGUUGCAUGACAUUUGCUUAAAAGGUGCAAUUGCAUCACUACCAGAUGGACCUGCGUUGUAUUAGCUAGUUGGUGGGGUAACGGCUCACCAAGGCGACGAUACAUAGCCGACCUGAGAGGGUGAUCGGCCACACCGGGACUGAGACACGGCCCAGACUCCUACGGGAGGCAGCAGUAGGGAAUCUUCGGCAAUGGACGGAAGUCUGACCGAGCAACGCCGCGUGAGUGAAGAAGGUUUUCGGAUCGUAAAGCUCUGUUGUAAGAGAAGAACGAGUGUGAGAGUGGAAAGUUCACACUGUGACGGUAUCUUACCAGAAAGGGACGGCUAACUACGUG
RNAcentral lists this ribosomal RNA (495 nucleotides) under uncultured bacterium. Its description in RNAcentral is "partial 16S ribosomal RNA". It matches the Rfam family "Bacterial small subunit ribosomal RNA", at positions 28 to 507 of the family's 1533-position model. The record is from RNAcentral.